CAGGGCGAGGGCGGCGGUGAUUCCCCCGCCGGCGCUGGCUCCGCCGAUGGCGAUGCGUCCGACGUCGAUGUGCAGUUCGUCCGCGUGGGC
RNAcentral lists this transfer RNA (90 nucleotides) under Lentzea flava. RNAcentral describes it as "tRNA-Ala". Lineage: Bacteria; Bacillati; Actinomycetota; Actinomycetes; Pseudonocardiales; Pseudonocardiaceae. The record is from RNAcentral.